UGAUGAGUUGUUGUCUCAUAUCCUUCUUUGAUUGUGAAAUGUUUCAUUCGAGAUCUGUUUCGAGAGUUCUUCCGCGAGAUGUGAACUCUGCGGGGGUGCUGAAGGUGUCGAACAUAAACAUAGAGGCAUGGUUUAAGAAUCUCUUAUCUUUCGAUAUCAUGUCUUUGAGAUGUUAGAGACCAGUGCGCUGGGUUUAGGGCAAGACCUAGGUUUACUUUCGGUUUAAGGAUUGUGCGGUGACUAACCGGCUAUCGUUUUUCCUGUCGCGAUUUCUUCCUGAUUCGUAUCGAUGUAAAGUCCGCGAGAGGUUCUCGGCUUAUCCGACUUGUUUGAUAUGAAUCGAGCAUCUCUCCGGAGACCGGAAGUGCUAGACCAAAAUUUCGGAUUUUU
This 390-nucleotide long non-coding RNA is filed under the name Brassica rapa (field mustard). RNAcentral's name for it is "long non-coding RNA (BRAP_LNC008661)". The record is from RNAcentral. Lineage: Eukaryota; Viridiplantae; Streptophyta; Magnoliopsida; Brassicales; Brassicaceae.